Sciurus vulgaris (Eurasian red squirrel) is the source of this 126-nucleotide small nucleolar RNA. The record is from Ensembl. NCBI's taxonomy places the organism in Eukaryota, Metazoa, Chordata, Mammalia, Rodentia, Sciuridae.
AAGCAACACUCUGUGGCAGAUGAUCAAAAUUGUCUGACACAAUGUGAGCUUGCUACAGCCAGAAAGUCGAACCUAUUCUGGUGUUUUCUCGUCCAUGAGACAAGCUGUUAUGUAGAUUUAAAUAGU